Non-coding RNA from Pelobates cultripes (western spadefoot toad), 298 nucleotides. Lineage: Eukaryota; Metazoa; Chordata; Amphibia; Anura; Pelobatidae. The record is from the annotation of a GenBank genome assembly.
UUCAGAUAACAUUUUAUUUGCUUUUUUGUUUCAUCAAAAUGGUAUGCCAAUAUCACUUUUUUUCUACAGCCCAAUAAUCUACAAUAUCAGAAAGAACCCAAUAAAAAAAAAUCAAAUGGAGCAAGUUAUGAGCUAUACAGUACAAAUUUCAAAUUAGAUGCUGUCUAAAGUGCAAAACUACUGCAUUGAUGAUGAGUUAGAGAAGGAAAUUAAAAUACUCUAUUUUAGACCAACAGUAUACAUAUACAUAUAUAUGUAUAUAUGUCACGGUAUAUACAUAUAUAUUUUUUUUAUAUAU